RNAcentral lists this ribosomal RNA (253 nucleotides) under uncultured bacterium. Its description in RNAcentral is "partial 16S ribosomal RNA". It matches the Rfam family "Bacterial small subunit ribosomal RNA", at positions 524 to 776 of the family's 1533-position model. The record is from RNAcentral.
UACGUAGGGGGCUAGCGUUGUCCGGAAUCAUUGGGCGUAAAGAGCGUGUAGGCGGUCCGGUAAGUCCGCUGUGAAAGUCGGGGGCUCAACCCUCGAAUGCCGGUGGAUACUGUCGGGCUAGAGUGCGGAAGAGGCGAGUGGAAUUCCUGGUGUAGCGGUGAAAUGCGCAGAUAUCAGGAGGAACACCAAUGGCGAAGGCAGCUCGCUGGGACGGUACUGACGCUGAGACGCGAAAGCGUGGGAAGCAAACAGG